Molecule: Y RNA, 110 nt
Filed under: Propithecus coquereli (Coquerel's sifaka)
Lineage: Eukaryota; Metazoa; Chordata; Mammalia; Primates; Indriidae
Description: Y RNA (ENSPCOG00000001993.1)
Rfam family: Y RNA
About the family: Y RNAs are components of the Ro ribonucleoprotein particle (Ro RNP), in association with Ro60 and La proteins. The Y RNAs and Ro60 and La proteins are well conserved, but the function of the Ro RNP is not known. In humans the RNA component can be one of four small RNAs -- hY1, hY3, hY4 and hY5.
Source: Rfam by way of RNAcentral
GGCUGGUCCAGAGGCAGUGAAUUACCUCAAUUAAUUGUUCACAGUCAGUUACAGAUCAAACUCAUUCUACUCUUUCCCCUCUUCUCACUACUGCAAUUGACUAGUCUUAA